Non-coding RNA from Anas platyrhynchos (mallard), 2122 nucleotides. The record is from RefSeq and is a predicted model, not a curated record. NCBI's taxonomy places the organism in Eukaryota, Metazoa, Chordata, Aves, Anseriformes, Anatidae.
UUCCUGGAAGCAGAAACACUGCAGCUAUUCCAGAAACCUUCUGCAUAGUCUUCCGUAACAAUCAGUCUCCUGGCUGUAUGCUCUCCAAUAACAUCACCUAAGUGAUUUCCCCCCAGGCAAUAAGGUUAAGUCAUGGGAAACAAUUUCUAUUUUUAAUAACAUUUUUGCUAAAUAUCCUGUCCCUGACUUUCCCCAGAGGCUUAGAAUCCAUCUGCAAUAAGGGGGCUUUAAAAGGGCUUUAAUAAUAAAUAUAAUACCGCCAUUCUUUUAUGCUUGUAACUAUUCAUGCUUGAGUGAAUUCCCUGAUCUUUUUAUGGGUCUGUUGAAAUAUAUUGUGCAAGUCAAGGGCAGGCCUGUUUUUAAGCUUCUUGUGUUCCCCUGCUUUAAUUCUUUUUAUCUCUAGCUAACAGUCCAGAUAAUGUGGUCCUGAUGUUGUAUUUAUCCAUGCACAAUAGCAACAAAGCCCAGGGAGCAGCACGCAAGCUUGCUGCACCCCUAGGGGCUGUGACUACCCAGUGCUGUCUCUCGAAGACCAUCAGGGCUCUGGUAGGAGUACUGCACUGAGCUACACCACCAGGAGACUUCCAUGGGACAGAGAUGUCUACCCUUGGCCCUACCUUCAGUCUACCUGCCUUGACUUGGAGAGGAGUCUUAGAGCCAUCAGAAAUGUACAUUUGAAACAAAAGAAAAAAAAAAAAACAGCAUCCUUCUCAAUACCUUUUCAGCCCAGCCUUAUGCACAUCCUGCAAAGGCAUUCCUUUUGUUUACUUCUAGAGUUCAAACAGCCUGGAGAUCUGUGACUUUCCCCUCCUCUUUUAGGAACCCUCAAGAAACAGACUCCCUCGCUCUAAAGCUGUCAGAGCCCUGACAGCCUCAAUAGCCCUGCCCAGCCUCACCUGGGCCCUCCACCCAGCCCACUGCUCCACCAGCUCUGUUUAAUCUCAGAUCUGAGCCUUCAGGCCUGACCGGAGCAAUGCUGUAGGUGUGCCUGAGCUGUCCCCCAGCAGCUGCUGCGGAGAGAGCCUCUGUAGCUUCUUUCCUUGGAGAUUUUUUUUUCAUCUGAGCUGUUGCUUUCUGUGUCAGACCCUUUUCAUCUCAGGCCUUUCUUCUGCUGAGCAGCCAGGCUGUGUUCCUGCCCUGGGUGUCUUUGCUCAGCUCUUCCCUGUGAAUGAGUUUGUGUUGGCUGGAGCCGGCGAAGCCCUUGGCUGGCACAGCUGAGGGAGUUUGCCCUCUGAGCAUGACAGUCAGAAGGAUGGGAAUUUCUGAACUAAUUUGCUGUAAACAAUGAUCCAUAAUAGGUCGCUUCUCCCUUCAGCAGCUCAGCAAUUAAAUCUCUCGGAGACAUGAAUGUAAUUGGACUGCUGGCAAUUGGCACUUGGAGGAGUCCGGAGAGCUCUUCCAGUGACUUCCAUUGCACCACCUGGGAUUUCAUUUGCCUUUUGGCUGUGCUCGUUCAGCCCAGGAGUCCUUUGCUCAAGGAUACCUGGACACCCAAGGGUUUGAGGUGUAUAAAACUGAAGGCUGCUCGGUCGGAAAGCAUGAAGAAGCUCUUUGAAUUCAAUCUACAGAGCAGAAACUUUGCCAAGAUCAGCCGUUGCUUAAAGAGUUUGGGUUGGGGCCAAAUUUGGAGGCCGGCUGCCUUCUUGCUGAGCAGGUCUCUGGAGACAGCCUCAGUGCGCCGAGCUGAGGCUUCCAGGAGUGGCCACUGACGUUCGAGGCAGCUGAUGUCUGAGGCAGCUCGAACCAGUCACCUUGAAAAUCGGGGACUUUCAUAUCAUUUCCAGUUGGACCAUUAAGUAUCAAAGCCCAUAAAAUCAUUCAUCCUCUUCUGCUGUGGCCUCUUCAUUCUGCCUCCCCCUCUCCUUCAUGGUAAACUGUUUCAUCCAAUCGGGUUUGUCUGAGGUAGUUUGGAUUUCAGCCACAUAUAUAUUAUUUUUAUCUCUCCUGCUAUUUUGCUGGGCUUCUGUACAUGCAGGAUCACUGUUUUAUCUGUAAUUUUAACAGUGAGGAUGUGAAUUAGAGGGUUUUUAUUUCACUUGUGGCUUUCCAUCCACUAUUGUGUAUUAAACCAAGCUUUGCUUGAAGACAAUAAUAAUAAAUAUCCUUUGUGUCUUCCCUGUUA